Molecule: ribosomal RNA, 504 nt
Filed under: uncultured bacterium
Lineage: Bacteria
Description: partial 16S ribosomal RNA
Rfam family: Bacterial small subunit ribosomal RNA
Source: RNAcentral
AUUGAACGCUGGCGGCAGGCCUAACACAUGCAAGUCGAGCGGUAACACAGGGAGCUUGCUCCCGGGUGACGAGCGGCGGACGGGUGAGUAAUGUCUGGGAAACUGCCUGAUGGAGGGGGACAACUACUGGAGACGGUAGCUAAUACCGCAUAAUGUCGCAAGACCAAAGAGGGGGACCUUCGGGCCUCUUGCCAUCAGAUGUGCCCAGAUGGGAUUAGCCAGUAGGUGGGGUAACGGCUCACCUAGGCGACGAUCCCUAGCUGGUCUGAGAGGAUGACCAGCCACACUGGAACUGAGACACGGUCCAGACUCCUACGGGAGGCAGCAGUGGGGAAUAUUGCACAAUGGGCGCAAGCCUGAUGCAGCCAUGCCGCGUGUAUGAAGAAGGCCUUCGGGUUGUAAAGUACUUUCAGCGGGGAGGAAGGUGUUGAGGUUAAUAACCUCAGCAAUUGACGUUACCCGCAGAAGAAGCACCGGCUAACUCCGUGCCAGCAGCCGCGGUAA